RNAcentral lists this small RNA (130 nucleotides) under Marmota monax (woodchuck). Lineage: Eukaryota; Metazoa; Chordata; Mammalia; Rodentia; Sciuridae. The record is from RNAcentral.
GCCAGGUAUGGUGGUGGCACAUGCCUGUAAUCCCAGCAGCUUGGGAGGCUGAGGCAGGAGAAUCACAAGUUUGAGGUCAGCCUCAGCAACUUAGUUAGGUCCUAAGCAACGUAGUGAGGCCCUGUCUCAA